CUGCAAGUCGAGCGGACUUGAUGGAGAGCUUGCUCUCCUGAUGGUUAGCGGCGGACGGGUGAGUAACACGUAGGCAACCUGCCUGCAAGACCGGGAUAACCCACGGAAACGUGAGCUAAUACCGGAUAUCUCAUUUCCUCUCCUGAGGAGAUGAUGAAAGACGGAGCAAUCUGUCACUUGCGGAUGGGCCUGCGGCGCAUUAGCUAGUUGGUGAGGUAACGGCUCACCAAGGCGACGAUGCGUAGCCGACCUGAGAGGGUGAACGGCCACACUGGGACUGAGACACGGCCCAGACUCCUACGGGAGGCAGCAGUAGGGAAUCUUCCGCAAUGGGCGAAAGCCUGACGGAGCAACGCCGCGUGAGUGAUGAAGGUUUUCGGAUCGUAAAGCUCUGUUGCCAGGGAAGAACGUCCGAUAGAGUAACUGCUAUCGGAGUGACGGUACCUGAGAAGAAAGCCCCGGCUAACUACGUGCCAGCAGCCGCGGUAAUACGUAGGGGGCAAGCGUUGUCCGGAAUUAUUGGGCGUAAAGCGCGCGCAGGCGGUCAUUUAAGUCUGGUGUUUAAGGCCAAGGCUCAACCUUGGUUCGCACUGGAAACUGGGUGACUUGAGUGCAGAAGAGGAGAGUGGAAUUCCACGUGUAGCGGUGAAAUGCGUAGAUAUGUGGAGGAACACCAGUGGCGGAAGGCGACUCUCUGGGGCUGUAACUUGACGCUUAAGGCGCGAAAAGCGGGGGGGAGCAAACAAGGAUUAAAAUACCCCUGGGUAGUUCCACGCCCGUUAAACCAAUGAAAUGCUAAGGUGUUUAGGGGGUUUUCCAAUACCCCUUUGGUUGCCCAAAAUUUAACCAC
This 850-nucleotide ribosomal RNA is filed under the name Paenibacillus sp. AR247. RNAcentral describes it as "bacterial SSU rRNA". It matches the Rfam family "Bacterial small subunit ribosomal RNA", at positions 55 to 872 of the family's 1533-position model. The record is from RNAcentral. Lineage: Bacteria; Bacillati; Bacillota; Bacilli; Caryophanales; Paenibacillaceae.